CACAAUGUAGUCUUUAAAGAGUCUUUGUUUAGAGAGAGAUUUCUCCCAAUAAGUUUUAGAAUUUUCAAUUUUGUUUUUAAUAUGUAGGCCGUUUGGCCAAACCAUAUCCAAUAAUGUAUUUUUAGUUUAAUUUUUCAUGUGUCGCCUGAUUUAUCGUCUUAUGGUUUGCAAACUAAAAGCUUCUGCGUGAUGCCCUCUCGAUUUCGAACCCAACAAGUGGUAUCAGAGACAAUGGUUCAAAGAUUAGACGGUUCGAUUGAGGAUAGUUUAAGAUAAAAAUUACAACAAAUUUGAUGAUAAUGAAGAUAUACGUCCAAAAACUACAUGUGGAGACGAUUGUCAUAUUUUCAACAAUCCUGCUGUUACAUAUUUGAAAAUAAAGCUUACUUUUAACCCUACAAAGGGCUCUAAUAUUUUUAACCCGAAAAGGUCUCAUAUAUUUUUAACCCCAAAAGCUCCAUUUUUAAACAUGCCAAACAACAGUGAUGAAGAUUAUAUGAAGAACGAAGAUCAAAUAUGUGAAGAAGGCGAAUCAACUGAAGAAAAUCAAGCCAAAAAGGGGAGAUUUGUUAGGAUUUUUGCCCCGAUUUUCUUACCAAAUUUAAGUUUUACUUUUUCUUGUAAGGAAAAUAAAAGUAACCAUAAAUACUUUUAUUUUUCCUGAAAGGAAAAUAUAAAACUUUUUCAUAUUUGGCAAACCUCUUUCUUGGAGGAAAAGGUUUUGGGUAUCUAUAAAUAGAAGACCCCUCUUCUCAUACAAUAACAC
This 766-nucleotide long non-coding RNA is filed under the name Capsicum annuum. Its description in RNAcentral is "long non-coding RNA (CANN_LNC000772)". Lineage: Eukaryota; Viridiplantae; Streptophyta; Magnoliopsida; Solanales; Solanaceae. The record is from RNAcentral.